GAUUCAACCCUUUUCUCGUACUCGCCGGGACAGUUUUUCGAUACUCGCACGGAUUCUAUCUUUUCCCGGUACUCACCCGGAUUCUACCAUUUUUCGGUACUCACACUAAUUUGACCUUUUUCCGGUAUUAGUCGGGACACUUUUUCGGUACUCACACUGAUUCGACCAUUUUCUCGUACUCGUCGGGACACUUUUUCGACACUGGCACGGAUUCUACUAUUUCUCGGUACUCGCCCGGAUUCUUCCAUUUUUCGGUACUCACACUCAUUCAACCCUUUUCUCGUACUCGCCCGGACAAUUUUUCGAUACUCGCACGGAUUCUACCUUUUCCCGGUACUCACCCGGAUUCUAUCAUUUUUCGGUACUCACACUAAUUUGACCUUUUUCCGGUAUUAGUCGGGACACUUUUUCGGUACUCACACUGAUUCGACCAUUUUCCGGAACUCGUCCGUACAGUUUUUCGAUACUUGCACGGAUUCUACUAUUUCCCGGUACUCGCCCGGAUUCUUCCAUUUUUCGUUACUCACACUCAUUCAACCCUUUUCUCGUACUCGCCCGGACACUUUUUCGAUACUCGCACGGAUUCCACCUUUUCCCGGUACUCACCCGGAGUCUACCAUUUUUCUGUACUCACACUAAUUGGACCCUUUUCCAGAACUCGUCGGUAUAGUUUUUCGAUACUCGCACGGAUUCUACUAUUUCCCGGUACUCGCCCGGAUUCUUCCAUUUUUCGGUACUCAUAUUGAUUCAACCCUUUUCUCGUACUCGCCGGGACAGUUUUUCGAUACUCGCACGGAUUCUAUCUUUUCCCGGUACUCACCCGGAUUCUACCAUUUUUCGGUAGUCACACUAAUUUGACCUUUUUCCGGUAUUAGUCGGGACACUUUUUCGGUACUCACACUGAUUCGACCAUUUUCUCGUACUCGUCGGGACACUUUUUCGACACUUGCACGGAUUCUACUAUUUCCCGGUACUCGCCCGGAUUCUUCCAUUUUUCGGUACUCACACUCAUUCAACCCUUUUCU
RNAcentral lists this long non-coding RNA (1025 nucleotides) under Vitis vinifera (wine grape). RNAcentral describes it as "long non-coding RNA (VVIN_LNC008014)". The record is from RNAcentral. Lineage: Eukaryota; Viridiplantae; Streptophyta; Magnoliopsida; Vitales; Vitaceae.